RNAcentral lists this ribosomal RNA (435 nucleotides) under uncultured bacterium. Its description in RNAcentral is "partial 16S ribosomal RNA". It matches the Rfam family "Bacterial small subunit ribosomal RNA", at positions 28 to 507 of the family's 1533-position model. The record is from RNAcentral.
GAUGAACGCUGGCGGUAUGCUUAACACAUGCAAGUCGAACGGACUCUUCGGAGUUAGUGGCGGACGGGUGAGUAACGCGUGAGAAUCUGGCUUUGGGUUCGGGACAACCACUGGAAACGGUGGCUAAUACCGGAUGUGCCGAGAGGUAAAAGAGAAAUUGCCUGAAGGUGAGCUCGCGUCUGAUUAGCUAGUUGGUGAGGUAAAGGCUCACCAAGGCAGCGAUCAGUAGCUGGUCUGAGAGGAUGACCAGCCACACUGGGACUGAGACACGGCCCAGACUCCUACGGGAGGCAGCAGUGGGGAAUUUUCCGCAAUGGGCGAAAGCCUGACGGAGCAAUACCGCGUGAGGGAAGAAGGCUCUUGGGUUGUAAACCUCUUUUCUUAGGGAAGAACAAAAUGACUGUACCUAAGGAAUCAGCAUCGGCUAACUCCGUG